GUGGGUAUAGUGCAAUGAGUGGUAGAGCACGUGCUUAGCAUGCACAAGGCCCUGGGUUCAAUCCUCAGUACCUCCA
RNAcentral lists this transfer RNA (76 nucleotides) under Camelus bactrianus (Bactrian camel). It matches the Rfam family "tRNA". From Rfam's summary of the family: Transfer RNA (tRNA) molecules are approximately 80 nucleotides in length. Their secondary structure includes four short double-helical elements and three loops (D, anti-codon, and T loops). RNAcentral also lists the same sequence under 2 other names. Lineage: Eukaryota; Metazoa; Chordata; Mammalia; Artiodactyla; Camelidae. The record is from Rfam by way of RNAcentral.